RNAcentral lists this ribosomal RNA (497 nucleotides) under uncultured bacterium. Its description in RNAcentral is "partial 16S ribosomal RNA". It matches the Rfam family "Bacterial small subunit ribosomal RNA", at positions 28 to 507 of the family's 1533-position model. The record is from RNAcentral.
GAUGAACGCUGGCGGCGUGCCUAAUACAUGCAAGUCGAGCGAACAGACGAGGAGCUUGCUCCUCUGACGUUAGCGGCGGACGGGUGAGUAACACGUGGAUAACCUACCUAUAAGACUGGGAUAACUUCGGGAAACCGGAGCUAAUACCGGAUAACAUGUUGAACCGCAUGGUUCAACAGUGAAAGACGGUCUUGCUGUCACUUAUAGAUGGAUCCGCGCCGCAUUAGCUAGUUGGUAAGGUAACGGCUUACCAAGGCAACGAUGCGUAGCCGACCGGAGGGGGUGAUCGGCCACACUGGAACUGAGACACGGUCCAGACUCCUAGGGGAGGCAGCAGUAGGGAAUCUUCCGCAAGGGGCGAAAGCCUGACGGAGCAACGCCGCGUGAGUGAAGAAGGUCUUCGGAUCGUAAAACUCUGUUAUUAGGGAAGAACAAAUGUGUAAGUAACUAUGCACGUCUUGACGGUACCUAAUCAGAAAGCCACGGCUAACUACGUG